RNAcentral lists this ribosomal RNA (429 nucleotides) under Bacteroidota bacterium. Its description in RNAcentral is "Bacteroidetes bacterium partial 16S ribosomal RNA". It matches the Rfam family "Bacterial small subunit ribosomal RNA", at positions 355 to 776 of the family's 1533-position model. The record is from RNAcentral. RNAcentral also lists the same sequence under 1 other name. Lineage: Bacteria; Pseudomonadati; Bacteroidota.
UAGGGAAUCUUCGGCAAUGGGGGGAACCCUGACCGAGCAACGCCGCGUGAGUGAAGAAGGUUUUCGGAUCGUAAAGCUCUGUUGUUAAGGAAGAACGAGUGUGAGAAUGGAAAGUUCAUGCUGUGACGGUACUUAACCAGAAAGGGACGGCUAACUACGUGCCAGCAGCCGCGGUAAUACGUAGGUCCCGAGCGUUGUCCGGAUUUAUUGGGCGUAAAGCGAGCGCAGGCGGUUAGAAAAGUCUGAAGUGAAAGGCAGUGGCUCAACCAUUGUAGGCUUUGGAAACUGUUUAACUUGAGUGCAGAAGGGGAGAGUGGAAUUCCAUGUGUAGCGGUGAAAUGCGUAGAUAUAUGGAGGAACACCGGUGGCGAAAGCGGCUCUCUAGUCUGUAACUGACGCUGAGGCUCGAAAGCGUGGGGAGCGAACAGG